This 1006-nucleotide long non-coding RNA is filed under the name Nicotiana benthamiana. Its description in RNAcentral is "long non-coding RNA (NBEN_LNC008641)". Lineage: Eukaryota; Viridiplantae; Streptophyta; Magnoliopsida; Solanales; Solanaceae. The record is from RNAcentral.
CUCUCUCUUUCUCUGCAAUAUUGCUCUUGUUCUUUUAUUAUUUUAUAACACGUUAUCAGCACGAGACUCUACCGUCUCAAGAAGCUCUUUGAGAAGAAUGUAACGAAACUAGAAGAAGAAGGGAUUUUGAAAAAAAGGAAAAAAUUCGAAGAAAGAAAGAAGGAACAGAAGAGAACAAAGAAAGUGUAAAAAAAAGAAGGUGGAAGUUUUGAAGAGGAAAACGACAAAGAAGAAAAAUGAGGUUUUUCUUAGGAAAAGAACAUCUGUUGAUUUUUUUAGCAAAAGAACUUCUCUUUUCCUUCAAUUAUGUGCUUUGUCACCAUUCUUGCCAUAUUUUCUGGCAAGUUCCGAGUAUGUCAAGAUUUUUGGUUCCGAAUUUUGUUCGAGUUUCACGAGCAUAGAUUUCAAUCUAUUGGAGUAUUUGCUUUGAAGCUUUAUUUGGUGUUUGUUCCUGCUGCAAAGCUUUGUUAAAAGAGUUUUUCUUUAUUGAAUAAAAAAAAAUAUAGUUUGGCUUCAUUAAAGAGAACUCAUCAAAGACCAGCUAAACCAGUCAAGCCCCGCAUCCAGCAACACUGCUGGAUCCAGUUCCGCCGGAAACCAGCGACCACCCGUUUCUGCUUCUGCCUCGUCCAGCAGUAUCCUCCCCCCACUGCUUCAUCCCCCGUCGUCAUGCCGCCAUAGUAACGAAACAACCUCCGGCCCACUGUCACGCCAUUGACGUCUCAAACGACGACCUUCAUUGUCGAUCACCCAUUAGCUUCUAAACCAGGCCACCACCACUUCACCAUCCAGCACGCAAGGCAGUCCGUCGACCCCACUAUCAACAGCCCGUCAAGGUUCGAGAGAGAAGGUGGGCGUCGAGGACAUUGGCAAUUUUUGUUCGUGUUUUCGUUUCCGUUAAGGUCGUUGUUCGUCAAGGUCCGACCGAGGUUCCGUCGGAGUUCCAACGCAUUAGACGUCAAUCACAACACGAGACUCUAACCAAUUGAGUAGAAGCUUUGGNNNN